GACGAACGCUGGCGGCGUGCUUAACACAUGCAAGUCGAACGGAAAGGCCCUGCUUGCAGGGUACUCGAGUGGCGAACGGGUGAGUAACACGUGGGUGAUCUGCCCUGCACUUCGGGAUAAGCCUGGUAAACUGGGUCUAAUACCGGAUAGGAGCCAUUUUUAGUGUGAUGGUUGGAAAGUUUUUUCGGUGUAGGAUGAGCUCGCGGCCUAUCAGCUUGUUGGUGGGGUAAUGGCCUACCAAGGCGGCGACGGGUAGCCGGCCUGAGAGGGUGGACGGCCACAUUGGGACUGAGAUACGGCCCAGACUCCUACGGGAGGCAGCAGUGGAGAAUAUUGCACAAUGGGCGCAAGCCUGAUGCAGCGACGCCGCGUGGGGGAUGACGGCCUUCGGGUUGUAAACUCCUUUCGCUAGGGACGAAGCUGUUGUGACGGUACCUAGAUAAGAAGCCCCGGCUAACUACGUG
This 464-nucleotide ribosomal RNA is filed under the name uncultured bacterium. RNAcentral describes it as "partial 16S ribosomal RNA". It matches the Rfam family "Bacterial small subunit ribosomal RNA", at positions 28 to 507 of the family's 1533-position model. The record is from RNAcentral.